Molecule: long non-coding RNA, 985 nt
Organism: Gadus macrocephalus (Pacific cod)
Lineage: Eukaryota; Metazoa; Chordata; Actinopteri; Gadiformes; Gadidae
Exons: 2
Source: RefSeq, a predicted model, not a curated record
GUCCCAUUUCUACCCCUUACCCCUCCCCCUUGGUUUGAAGGGGUAAGGGUGUCCCAAUUCUCAUUUUGGUUAAGGGGUAGGGCGAAGACAAAAGGCUACGUAGCCCUUGAAACGAAGCGAAAACGUAGCUUGAAACGAAGCUAUCCAAGGACCACACUUCAAAGGGAGGGCUUCGAGGAAAAUCCGGCCGAAAAUGCAUUUUUACUAGUUGUUAUCAUUUGGACUCAUGAUGUAAAGUUGACUGUAUAUUCAGCUCGAAGUCAUACACGGACAAUGCGAUCUCUGAGCUCGAUAUAAAACAUGACAUAACGGUAAAUAACCGUUGAACUAUACAAGAUUUUAGCGCUCUCUAGUGGCCAACCGAAAUCGCCAAAUAAACAAACAGCAGCGAUGGUUCAAGCGAAGGACACGCACAAAUGGACACCACAGGAGACCAGACGGCUCAUUAAUUUCAGGGGGACCAGGGACAAUGAGUUCCUAAAAUCGAAAAUGAUCGCCAGAAAACAGUGGGAGUGAGUCUUACGUUGUUCAAUCUUUUCAUUCUUGCGUCUGUUUUCUACUUUGGUAUUUCUGUGUUGAGCUCAAUAGCCCACUGAAUGUCUGUGUCAUUAUACCAAUUGCCUAAUGAAUGUAUCAACCAAACGAGACCAUUGUUUUUGUUGUAAUUUAGUAUUUUGGUGUGUGUGUGUGUGUGUGUGUGUGUGUGUGUGUGUGUGUAGCCGAGCUAAAUUUAAUUUGAUUUUGUUUUAUUUUUUAUCAUUGUUCAUACCUUUUUUUAUGUGAACUCCACCAAAUAUUGGUUCCUAAGUAAGUUGGUUUCGUUGUUCCCUAUGGCAUGCCUUUUCUUUCCCUGGGGAGUGGUUUGGCGUUGCACCUGUGUGCACCUGUGUGCACCUGUGUGUACCUGUGUGUACCUGUGUGUACCUGUGUGUAUGUGCAAUGACAACAAAUAAAAUCCUAUCCUAUCCUAUCCUAUGGCAAUGUU